CCUACGGGUGGCAGCAGUGGGGAAUCUUGCGCAAUGGCCGAAAGGCUGACGCAGCGACGCCGCGUGCGGGAGGACGCCCUUCGGGGUGUAAACCGCUGUCAGUGGGGAGGAACGGCCGGGGGAGGCAAUGCCCCCGGAUUGACAGUACCCACAGAGGAAGCACCGGCUAACUCCGUGCCAGCAGCCGCGGUAAUACGGAGGGUGCGAGCGUUGUUCGGAAUUAUUGGGCGUAAAGCGCACGUAGGCGGCUUUUUAAGUCUCACUGUGAAAGCCCG
RNAcentral lists this ribosomal RNA (275 nucleotides) under uncultured bacterium. Its description in RNAcentral is "partial 16S ribosomal RNA". It matches the Rfam family "Bacterial small subunit ribosomal RNA", at positions 338 to 605 of the family's 1533-position model. The record is from RNAcentral.